This 575-nucleotide ribosomal RNA is filed under the name Salmonella enterica subsp. enterica serovar Newport. RNAcentral's name for it is "partial 23S ribosomal RNA". It matches the Rfam family "Bacterial large subunit ribosomal RNA", at positions 689 to 1240 of the family's 2925-position model. Lineage: Bacteria; Pseudomonadati; Pseudomonadota; Gammaproteobacteria; Enterobacterales; Enterobacteriaceae. The record is from RNAcentral.
UGGGCGUUAAGUUGCAGGGUAUAGACCCGAAACCCGGUGAUCUAGCCAUGGGCAGGUUGAAGGUUGGGUAACACUAACUGGAGGACCGAACCGACUAAUGUUGAAAAAUUAGCGGAUGACCUGUGGCUGGGGGUGAAAGGCCAAUCAAACCGGGAGAUAGCUGGUUCUCCCCGAAAGCUAUUUAGGUAGCGCCUCGUGAAUUCAUCUCCGGGGGUAGAGCACUGUUUCGGCUAGGGGGCCAUCCCGGCUUACCAACCCGAUGCAAACUGCGAAUACCGGAGAAUGUUAUCACGGGAGACACACGGCGGGUGCUAACGUCCGUCGUGAAGAGGGAAACAACCCAGACCGCCAGCUAAGGUCCCAAAGUCAUGGUUAAGUGGGAAACGAUGUGGGAAGGCCCAGACAGCCAGGAUGUUGGCUUAGAAGCAGCCAUCAUUUAAAGAAAGCGUAAUAGCUCACUGGUCGAGUCGGCCUGCGCGGAAGAUGUAACGGGGCUAAACCAUGCACCGAAGCUGCGGCAGCGAACGUAUCACUUAAAGCGAUUCAGCGGGUUACGAUUGACGGAGCGAAGCGAC